This 1691-nucleotide long non-coding RNA is filed under the name Piliocolobus tephrosceles (Ugandan red Colobus). RNAcentral describes it as "lncRNA (ENSPTEG00000038510.1)". The record is from RNAcentral. Lineage: Eukaryota; Metazoa; Chordata; Mammalia; Primates; Cercopithecidae.
UAAGGAGGAGGAUAAAAAAGAAAAAAGUAACAUUUUAGAAAAAUAUGAAAAUGAAAAAGUGGUUUUAUACGAAAACAACGAAAUAGUAGAAUAUGAUGCCUCUCGGUUUGGAACAGUAAAAAAAAAAAUUGUAUUAAAUGAAGAUGAUUAUUUAAAUACAUUAGAAUACUUAAUUGAAAAAAAGUUUUAUCCAAAUUUAUAUAAAUUAAGAAAUGAAAAAGAAAAUAAAAAAAGAUUAAAAUUUAAUAACAUAACUAAUGAACAAAACAAACAAGAGUUAACAGCUGGUGAUAGUUAUGUAUAUAAUGAUUGGUCUAGAGAUAUGGACAAAUUAUGUAUGUUUUUGGAACAUAAUGGAUGUGAAAGUGAAGUAGGUAGCAACAUGCGAGAUAGUAAUAUUAUCAACCCCUAUUCUAAAAACAGUCACAUGAAUAAUGAAGAAAAUAAUUAUACAUUGAGCCAAAAAAGUAAGUGUGAUGACAUAGAUGUUAUAUCAAGUCCUAGCUAUAGUUUGACAUGUACUGAAAAUAGCCAUAUAUUGGAAAGUUUAAAAAAAAACAAUAAAUUAGUCUUUUUACCAAAUGGUAAUAAACACAAAAUAAAUUUGGAUAUAAGUUUAAGUGACUUUCAUAAAAAAUAUACAUCAGAAGAUAACGCAUCAUUUGAAUAUUUAAUUAAAAACAUGGAAAAACAAAAAUUAGAGAAAAAUUUGUAUUCUUUAGUAAAAAGAGAAAAAUAUAAUGAAAAAAUAAAAGCAAUAGAAGAAUAUACAAAAGAAGGAAAAAAAUGUGAUUUUAUAAACACAAACAAAGCAGAAGAUGAAAAUAAAUCAAUGUAUUUUUCAUCUAGUUUUAAAAUCAAUAGUAAUAUAGAUAAUGAAAAAAAAAAAAAUAAAGUGAAAAUAUUAUAUGAAAACACUCGAUUUAGUAAUGAGUAUAAUAAAGAUAUAGAAAAUCAGGUCAAUAGAUGUGAAGAAAUAAAAAAAAUAAGAUUAUUAACAACUGAAAAAGAAGUUAAAGAAAAUCAAAUGAUUGCUCAAGGUAAAUUUAAUUUACUAAAAGGAAAUAAUGAGUUUGAACAUAUAAAGACGCCUUUAACACAUGAGGGUUAUGGUUAUGAUAAAAAUGGAAGAUAUGAUGGUGGUAGCAAUAGUAGUAGUAGUAGUAGUAGUAGUAGUAGUAGUAGUAGCAGUAGGAGUAGUAGUAGGAGUAGUAGUAGUAGUAGCAGUAGGAGUAGUAGUAGUAGUAGUAGCAGUAAGAGUAGGCGCAUAAGCAAUACUAAUGGUAAGGACGAUCUAAGUGAUGAUGAAUCUAACUUGUUGAUAAAAAACGAAUUUUGUUUACAGCAAUUAAAUAAAAGAGAACAAGCUGCGGAGAAGUUACAAAAUCGAUUAAAAAAUAUGAAAUAUAAUAAAGAACUGUUAAAAAAAAAAAAAAUUAAAUCGCUAAUAAACAAAAAUUAUAGUUCUUUUAUGUCUAGCUCAUCAUUUAGAACCUCUGUUUUGUCCAGACAUAGUCAGAAACGACUAAACGAAUUGGCUUUAAAAUCUUCCCUAGCUUCGAGCAUUUUAAAAAAAAAAAAAAUCUAAACUGACGGAGGUACAUGGUGCAUAUAGAUAAUUUGUGUGCACAUACAUAUACAUUUGUCAUGUAUACGUUUUGGAAUAAAUAGUUUUUUUUUUUUUUUUUUUU